GGCCGUCUGGCGAAAUGGCAUCGCGUCUGACUACGAAUCAGGAGAUUGCAGGUUCGACCCCUGCGUCGGUCA
This 72-nucleotide transfer RNA is filed under the name Candolleomyces candolleanus. Its description in RNAcentral is "tRNA-Arg". It matches the Rfam family "tRNA". From Rfam's summary of the family: Transfer RNA (tRNA) molecules are approximately 80 nucleotides in length. Their secondary structure includes four short double-helical elements and three loops (D, anti-codon, and T loops). RNAcentral also lists the same sequence under 3 other names. The record is from RNAcentral. Lineage: Eukaryota; Fungi; Basidiomycota; Agaricomycetes; Agaricales; Psathyrellaceae.